ACGCGAAGAACCUUACCAGGUCUUGACAUCCUCUGACACUCCUAGAGAUAGGACGUUCCCCUUCGGGGGACAGAGUGACAGGUGGUGCAUGGUUGUCGUCAGCUCGUGUCGUGAGAUGUUGGGUUAAGUCCCGCAACGAGCGCAACCCUUGAUCUUAGUUGCCAGCAUUAAGUUGGGCACUCUAAGGUGACUGCCGGUGACAAACCGGAGGAAGGUGGGGAUGACGUCAAAUCAUCAUGCCCCUUAUGACCUGGGCUACACACGUGCUACAAUGGAUGGUACAAAGGGCAGCAAAGCGGCGACGCCUAGCAAAUCCCAUAAAACCAUUCUCAGUUCGGAUUGUAGGCUGCAACUCGCCUACAUGAAGCUGGAAUCGCUAGUAAUCGCGGAUCAGCAUGCCGCGGUGAAUACGUUCCCGGGCCUUGCACUCACCGCCCGU
This 439-nucleotide ribosomal RNA is filed under the name uncultured bacterium. Its description in RNAcentral is "bacterial SSU rRNA". It matches the Rfam family "Bacterial small subunit ribosomal RNA", at positions 959 to 1397 of the family's 1533-position model. The record is from RNAcentral.